GAUGAACGCUGGCGGCGUGCCUAAUACAUGCAAGUCGAGCGAACAGACUAGGAGCUUGCUCCUCUGACGUUAGCGGCGGACGGGUGAGUAACACGUGGAUAACCUACCUAUAAGACUGGGAUAACUUCGGGAAACCGGCGCUAAUACCGGAUAAUAUAUUGAACCGCAUGGUUCAAUAGUGAAAGACGGUUUUGCUGUCACUUAUAGAUGGAUCCCCGCCGCAUUAGCUAGUUGGUAAGGUAACGGCUUACCAAGGCAACGAUGCGUAGCCGACCUGGGAGGGUGAUCGGCCACACUGGAACUGAGACACGGUCCAGACUACAACGGGAGGCAGCAGUAGGGAAUCGGCCGCAAUGGGCGAAAGCCUGACGGAGCAACGCGGAGUGAGUGAUGAAGGUCUUCGGAUCGUAAAACUCUGUUAUUAGGGAAGAACAAAUGUGUAAGUAACUAUGCACGUCUUGACGGUACCUAAUCAGAAAGCCACGGAUAACUACGUG
RNAcentral lists this ribosomal RNA (497 nucleotides) under uncultured bacterium. RNAcentral describes it as "partial 16S ribosomal RNA". It matches the Rfam family "Bacterial small subunit ribosomal RNA", at positions 28 to 507 of the family's 1533-position model. The record is from RNAcentral.